UCGAGGAUCUUCGGCAAUGGGCGCAAGCCUGACCGAGCGACGCCGCGUGAGCGAUGAAGGCCUUCGGGUCGUAAAGCUCUGUCGUGGGGGAGAAAAGGGGCAACCCUUGAUCGACCCCAGGAGGAAGCACGGGCUAAGUUCGUGCCAGCAGCCGCGGUAAGACGAACCGUGCAAACGUUAUUCGGAAUCACUGGGCUUAAAGGGCGCGUAGGCGGGCCGCCAGGUCCGGGGUGAAAGCCUCCAGCUCAACUGGAGAAGUGCCUUGGAUACCGGCGGCCUCGAGGGAGGUAGGGGCGUGCGGAACUUCGGGUGGAGCGGUGAAAUGCGUAGAUAUCCGAAGGAACACCGGUGGCGAAAGCGGCGCGCUGGAUCUCUUCUGACGCUGAGGCGCGAAAGCCAGGGGAGCAAACGG
Molecule: ribosomal RNA, 412 nt
Filed under: uncultured bacterium
Lineage: Bacteria
Description: bacterial SSU rRNA
Rfam family: Bacterial small subunit ribosomal RNA
Source: RNAcentral